UCUGGUAGCCUUCGGUUGCCCGAGUUGUAAUCUAGAGAAGUGUUUUCCGUGCCGGCCCAUGUACAAGUCCCUUGGAACAGGGCGUCAUAGAGGGUGAGAAUCCCGUCCUUGACAUGGACCCCCGGUGCUUUGUGAUACACUUUCAACGAGUCGAGUUGUUUGGGAAUGCAGCUCAAAAUGGGUGGUGAAUUCCAUCUAAAGCUAAAUAUUGGCGAGAGACCGAUAGCGAACAAGUACCGUGAGGGAAAGAUGAAAAGCACUUUGGAAAGAGAGUUAAACAGUACGUGAAAUUGUUGAAAGGGAAACGAUUGAAGUCAGUCAUGCUCUUGGGACUUACCUCCCUUGAGUGGGGUCAACAUCAGUUUUGAUCGAUGGAUAAAGGCACUAGGAAGGUAGCACUCUCGGGUGAACUUAUAGCCUAGCGUCAUAUACAUUGAUUGGGACUGAGGAACGCAGCAUGCCUUUUGGCCGGGAUUCGUCCACGUACAUGCUUAGGAUGUUGACAUAAUGGCUUUAAACGACCCGUCUUG
RNAcentral lists this ribosomal RNA (530 nucleotides) under Naganishia albida. Its description in RNAcentral is "eukaryotic LSU rRNA". It matches the Rfam family "Eukaryotic large subunit ribosomal RNA", at positions 121 to 656 of the family's 3401-position model. Lineage: Eukaryota; Fungi; Basidiomycota; Tremellomycetes; Filobasidiales; Filobasidiaceae. The record is from RNAcentral.